GUCUAUGGCCGUACCACCCUGAACGUGCCUGAUCUUGUCUGAUCUCAGAAGCUAAGCAGGGUCAGGCCUGGUUAGUACCUGGAUGGGAGAUUGUCUGGGAAUACUGGGUGCUGUAGGCU
RNAcentral lists this ribosomal RNA (119 nucleotides) under Propithecus coquereli (Coquerel's sifaka). Lineage: Eukaryota; Metazoa; Chordata; Mammalia; Primates; Indriidae. The record is from RNAcentral.